This 253-nucleotide ribosomal RNA is filed under the name uncultured bacterium. Its description in RNAcentral is "partial 16S ribosomal RNA". It matches the Rfam family "Bacterial small subunit ribosomal RNA", at positions 524 to 776 of the family's 1533-position model. The record is from RNAcentral.
AACGUAGGAGACGAACGUUAUCCGGAGUUACUGGGCGUAAAGGGCGUGUAGGCGGUUUGUUAAGUCUGGCGUGAAAGCUCUCGGCUAAACCGGGAGAGGUCGUUGGAUACUGGCGAACUCGAGGAUGGUAGAGGCGUGUGGAAUUCCGGGUGUAGUGGUGAAAUGCGUAGAGAUCCGGAGGAACACCAGUGGCGAAGGCGGCGCCCUGGCUCGCAACUGACGCUCAGACACGACAGCAUGGGGAGCGAACGGG